ACCCGUAUAUAUGUGAAGGAAUGACGGAGAGAGGAAGCUGCAGCCAGCGGCUGGAAGAGCUGGUGCAAGCGAGAUAUCGGGAUGGCAGGCAAAUCCACCAUCCGAAACGAGAAGGCGUGAAGCGUACGGAAAGCUACGGCGAGUACGGAAGGCAGUGGAGGAACUUCCAAGAAAAGUUUCUAACGUUAAGUAUAUAUGGCCCGUACCGAAAAUGGACACACAUGGGUGAGGAGAGAAUCCUAAGGUGAGCGAGAGAACUAUAGCUAAGGAACUCUGCAAAAUGACUCCGUAACUUAGGGAGAAGGAGUGCUCAUAGAGAUAUGAGCCGCAGUGAAACGGCCCAAGCGACUGUUUACCAAAAACACAGCUCUCUGCUAAGCCGCAAGGCGAAGUAUAGGGGGUGACGCCUGCCCGGUGCUGGAAGGUUAAGGGGAGGGGUUAACGCAAGUGAAGCCCUGAACUGAAGCCCCAGUAAACGGCGGCCGUAACUAUAACGGUCCUAAGGUAGCGAAAUUCCUUGUCAGGUAAGUUCUGACCCGCACGAAAGGCGUAACGAUUUGGGCGCUGUCUCAGCUGUAGACUCGGUGAAGUCUUAGUACCUGUGAAGAUGCAGGUUACCCGCGACUAGACGGAAAGACCCCAUGGAGCUUCACUGCAGGUUGAUAUUGGGAUUUGAUGCAGCAUGUACAGGAUAGGUAGGAGGCAAAGAGAUGGAUACGCCAGUAUUCAAGGAGCCGCUGUUGGGAUACUACCCCUGUUGUAUUGGAUUUCUAACCGGACGACGUAGAGCCGUUGACGGGACAGUGUCAGUCGGGCAGUUUGACUGGGGCGGUCGCCUCCCAAAGAGUAACGGAGGCGCCCAAAGAUACCCUCAGCUUGGAUGGAAACCAAGCGCAGAGGGCAAAGGCAAAAGGGGGUUUGACUGCGGGACCUACAAGUCGAGCAGGGACGAAAGUCGGGCUUAGUGAUCCGGCGGUGCUGAAUGGAAAGGCCGUCGCUCAACGGAUAAAAGCUACCCUGGGGAUAACAGGCUGAUCUCCCCCAAGAGUUCACAUCGACGGGGAGGUUUGGCACCUCGAUGUCGGCUCAUCGCAUCCUGGAGCUGAAGUCGGUUCCAAGGGUUGGGCUGUUCGCCCAUUAAAGCGGUACGCGAGCUGGGUUCAGAACGUCGUGNNNNNNNNNNGAGCUGGGUUCAGAACGUCGUGAGACAGUUCGGUCCCUAUCUGUCGUGGGCGCAGGAAAUUUGAGAAGAGCUGUCCUCAGUACGAGAGGACCGGGAUGGACGCAUCAAUGGUGGACCAGUUGUCACGCCAGUGGCAUAGCUGGGUAGCUAAAUGCGGAAGGGAUAAACGCUGAAGGCAUCUAAGUGUGAAACCCACUUCAAGAUGAGAUUUCCCAUUGCGCAAGCAAGUAAGACCCCUUAAAGACGAUAAGGUAGAUAGGUCAGGAGUGUAAGCAUGGUGACAUGUUA
RNAcentral lists this ribosomal RNA (1471 nucleotides) under Collinsella sp. AM10-32. RNAcentral describes it as "bacterial LSU rRNA". It matches the Rfam family "Bacterial large subunit ribosomal RNA", at positions 1443 to 2888 of the family's 2925-position model. Lineage: Bacteria; Bacillati; Actinomycetota; Coriobacteriia; Coriobacteriales; Coriobacteriaceae. The record is from RNAcentral.